RNAcentral lists this ribosomal RNA (253 nucleotides) under uncultured bacterium. RNAcentral's name for it is "partial 16S ribosomal RNA". It matches the Rfam family "Bacterial small subunit ribosomal RNA", at positions 524 to 776 of the family's 1533-position model. The record is from RNAcentral.
UACGUAGGGUGCAAGCGUUGUCCGGAAUUAUUGGGCGUAAAGAGCUCGUAGGCGGUUUGUUGCGUCGGCUGUGAAAUCCCGAGGCUCAACCUCGGGUCUGCAGUCGAUACGAGCAAACUAGAGUGUUGCAGGGGAGACUGGAAUUCCUGGUGUAGCGGUGAAAUGCGUAGAUAUCGAGAGGAACACCUGCGGCGAAGGCGGGUUGCUGGGCUGAUACUGACGCUGAGGCGCGAAAGCCAGGGGAGCGAACGGG